This 451-nucleotide ribosomal RNA is filed under the name uncultured bacterium. RNAcentral's name for it is "bacterial SSU rRNA". It matches the Rfam family "Bacterial small subunit ribosomal RNA", at positions 29 to 528 of the family's 1533-position model. The record is from RNAcentral.
AACGAACGCUGGCGACAUGCCUAACACAUGCAAGUCGAACGAGACCUUCGGGUCUAGUGGCGCACGGGUGCGUAACGCGUGGGAAUCUGCCCUUAGGUUCAGAAUAACUUCGGGAAACUGAAGCUAAUACCGGAUGAUGACGUAAGUCCAAAGAUUUAUCGCCUAAGGAUGAGCCCGCGUUGGAUUAGCUAGUUGGUGAGGUAAAGGCUCACCAAGGCGACGAUCCAUAGCUGGUCUGAGAGGAUGAUCAGCCACACUGGGACUGAGACACGGCCCAGACUCCUACGGGAGGCAGCAGUGGGGAAUAUUGGACAAUGGGCGAAAGCCUGAUCCAGCAAUGCCGCGUGAGUGAUGAAGGCCUUAGGGUUGUAAAGCUCUUUACCCGGGAUGAUAAUGACAGUACCGGGAGAAUAAGCUCGGCUAACNCCGUGCCAGCAGCCGCGGUAAUCGU